Molecule: ribosomal RNA, 271 nt
Filed under: uncultured Piloderma
Lineage: Eukaryota; Fungi; Basidiomycota; Agaricomycetes; Atheliales; Atheliaceae
Description: partial 28S ribosomal RNA
Rfam family: Eukaryotic large subunit ribosomal RNA
Source: RNAcentral
UUGACCUCAAAUCAGGUAGGACUACCCGCUGAACUUAAGCAUAUCAAUAAGCGGAGGAAAAGAAACUAACAAGGAUUCCCCUAGUAACUGCGAGUGAAGCGGGAAAAGCUCAAAUUUAAAAUCUGGCGGUCUUGCGGCCGUCCGAGUUGUAAUCUGGAGAAGCGUUUAUCCGCGUCGGACCGUGUACAAGUCUUCUGGAAGGGAGCGUCGUAGAGGGUGAGAAUCCCGUCUUUGACACGGACAACCGGUGCUUUUGUGAUGCGCUCUCGAA